This 1185-nucleotide ribosomal RNA is filed under the name Triticum aestivum (bread wheat). RNAcentral's name for it is "partial small subunit ribosomal RNA". Lineage: Eukaryota; Viridiplantae; Streptophyta; Magnoliopsida; Poales; Poaceae. The record is from RNAcentral.
AUGGAAGAAGCAGCUGCGUGGAGUAGUGAAGAUAGGAUUAGCUUCCAAACAUCCUUGCCUAGCCAUAGUGAUAGCGUGCAGCUGCAGAUGGUUAAGUAUGCAGCCCCAGCCACACCCACACCCACACAAGAUAAUGACUGUAGUGAUCCGACGAUCCAGCUGUUCAAGGAAGUAGUGCAAUCGUUCCAUACUGACUAUUUGGACAGUAUGGAACGGAAGAUGCACAAUAUCCCUCCAAGCCUGAUAGGUGUUGGCCCAUGGUACAUCCAACCGGUGACUGUGGCCAUCGGCCCUUACCACCAUGGUCUUCGUCCCAGCGUGCUGGAGGCGGAGAGGGUGAAGCAUGUGGCUGCGACCCAAUGCAUCACGGACUCGGGCCGCCCAGUCCAGGAGAUGUACGAUGCCGUCUUCGCCGUGUCCGCCGACGCCCGCAGCCUCUACUACCCGGACGAGUUGGCGAGAUUCCGCGACGACGACUUUUUGCCGAUGAUGUUCCUUGAUGGUUGCUUCUUGGUGCAGUUCAUGCGUUGCUAUGGCAACAUUGACGACAUGGAUGGCGCGCUGAACAGCUAUUUGUGCGCCAACUUCGAGCGCCUCUACACCGACAUCAUGAUGCUUGAGAACCAGAUCCCCUGGGUGGUGGUUAAAGCCAUCUUGAAGUUCAUGCCAGAGCCCUUGCUCUGGGAGGAGUUUGUCGCUGCGAUGAGAGCCGGCAUGAAAAACCAAAUGAAUUCUAAGGAAGUCCCACCCAUCCACGUAGAUCCUACCUAUGAACCGCCGCAUCUCCUCGGCCUUGUCCGGUUCUACAUCGUGGGGAACAACGACGACAUCAAAGUUGAACGCCCCACUGCUCCGGACGGAGACAAGCCCAUGUCGUUAUCCAUCAGCGUCGCCGAGCUUGCCGACAUCGGUACCACACUCGUACCCGAGACAGAAAAGUCAGGGUUAGUGCACAUGACCCUCCAAAAGAAAAGGUUAGUGGACACGGGCCUCGGCGGGAAAAAGUUUGGCUUCUUAUUUGGCGAUCUCCGCGUGCCACCCCUGUUCCCAACCGACGCAAAUGCGACUUGGCUCCUCAACAUGGCCGCCUUCGAGUUAUGCAAAACCGCAGACUUCCGCCAUGUUAAUGAUGAAGAAUCCGCUGCCUGCUCCUACCUCCAUCUCUUCGCCAUGCUGCUGGACUAG